AUUCUGGUUGAUCCUGCCAGUAGUUAUAUGCUUGUCUCAAAGAUUAAGCCAUGCAUGUCUAAGUACACACGAAUUAAAAGUGAAACCGCAAAAGGCUCAUUAUAUCAGUUAUGGUUCCUUAGAUCGUUAACAGUUACUUGGAUAACUGUGGUAAUUCUAGAGCUAAUACAUGCAAUUAAAACAUGAACCUUAUGGGACAUGUGCUUUUAUUAGGCUAAAACCAAGCGAUCGCAAGAUCGUUAUAUUGGUUGAACUCUAGAUAACAUGCAGAUCGUAUGGUCUUGUACCGACGACAGAUCUUUCAAAUGUCUGCCCUAUCAACUUUUGAUGGUAGUAUCUAGGACUACCAUGGUUGCAACGGGUAACGGGGAAUCAGGGUUCGAUUCCGGAGAGGGAGCCUGAGAAACGGCUACCACAUCUAAGGAAGGCAGCAGGCGCGUAAAUUACCCACUCCCAGCUCGGGGAGGUAGUGACGAAAAAUAACAAUACAGGACUCAUAUCCGAGGCCCUGUAAUUGGAAUGAGUACACUUUAAAUCCUUUAACAAGGACCAAUUGGAGGGCAAGUCUGGUGCCAGCAGCCGCGGUAAUUCCAGCUCCAAUAGCGUAUAUUAAAGUUGUUGCGGUUAAAACGUUCGUAGUUGAACUUGUGCUUCAUACGGGUAGUACAACUUACAAUUGUGGUUAGUACUAUACCUUUAUGUAUGUAAGCGUAUUACCGGUGGAGUUCUUAUAUGUGAUUAAAUACUUGUAUUUUUUCAUAUGUUCCUCCUAUUUAAAAACCUGCACUAGUGCUCUUAAACGAGUGUUAUUGUGGGCCGGUACUAUUACUUUGAACAAAUUAAAGUGCUUAAAGCAGGCUUUAAAUGCCUGAAUAUUCUGUGCAGGGGAUAAUGAAAAAAAACCUCGGUUCCGCCUCUCAUGGGUUUUAAAAUCAAAAGGAAAGAAUAACAAAAACAUUUUGGGGGCAAUUAUAAUACAACCCCAAAAGGAAAAU
This is a non-coding RNA of Drosophila simulans, 995 nucleotides long. Lineage: Eukaryota; Metazoa; Arthropoda; Insecta; Diptera; Drosophilidae. The record is from Rfam.